RNAcentral lists this ribosomal RNA (258 nucleotides) under uncultured bacterium. RNAcentral describes it as "partial 16S ribosomal RNA". It matches the Rfam family "Bacterial small subunit ribosomal RNA", at positions 524 to 778 of the family's 1533-position model. The record is from RNAcentral.
GACAGAGGCCUCAAGCGUUAGGCGGAAUCACUGGGCUUAAAGCGUGUGUAGGCGGAUCGUUAAGUGUCUUGUGAAAUCCCACGGCUCACCCGUGGAACUGCUGGGGCAUACUGGCGAUCUUGGGCCAACUAGGGGCAGCCGGAACAAGCGGUGGAGCGGUGAAAUGCGUAGAUAUCGCUUGGAACGCCGAAGGUGAAAACAGGCUGCUGGGGGUUGUGCCGACGCUGAGACACGAAAGCCAGGGGGAGCAAAACGGGG